This 1403-nucleotide ribosomal RNA is filed under the name uncultured Planctomyces sp. RNAcentral's name for it is "bacterial SSU rRNA". It matches the Rfam family "Bacterial small subunit ribosomal RNA". Lineage: Bacteria; Pseudomonadati; Planctomycetota; Planctomycetia; Planctomycetales; Planctomycetaceae. The record is from RNAcentral.
GCAGGCUGAGAUACCGGUAGCAAUAAUCGGUGCGACAGCGGCGGGCAAAUGGGACAGUAAUUGUGUAGGUACCUACCCCGAGGUCUGGGAUAGCUGCGGGAAACUGCAGGUAAUACCGGAUAAUGUCUUAGGACCAAAGGUGUGAUUCCACCUUGGGAGGCGGCCUGCAUCCUAUUAGCUUGUUGGCGGGGUAACGGCCCACCAAGGCAACGAUGGGUAGCGGGUGUGAGCUCAGUCACGACCCGCGUCCAUUGGGACUGAGAUACUGCCCAGACACCUACGGGUGGCUGCAGUCGAGGAUCUUCGGCAAUGGGCGAAAUGCCUGACCGAGCGACGCCGCGGUGCGGGAUGAAGGACCUUCCGGCGUUGUAACAACCGCUGUCGUAGAGUGAGGAACGUGCAAGAUGGGCUUCUCCCUUAGCUUGUUUGACCUAUUACUAGGAGGAAGGUGCGGCCGCUAAGUUCGUUGCCAGCAGCCGCGGUAAGACGAACCUGUACAAACGUUACUCGUGAAUUACUGGGCUUAAAUGGGUGCGUAGGCUCUGCGCGGAAAGUUGGGUGUGAAAUCCCUCAGCUCAACUGGCGGAAUUGCAUCCAAUAACUGCCGUGCUCGAGGCGAGACAGAGGUAUAGCGGAACUCAAGGUGGAGCGGUGAAAUGCGUUGAUAUCUUGAGGCAACACCUGGUGGCGAAGGCAGGCUUACUGGGUCUCUUCUGACGCUGAGGCACGAAAGCUAAGGUUAGCAAACUGGGAUUCAGAUACCCCGGUAGUCUUAGCUGUAAACGAUGAGCACUUUGAUUGAAGGGUCCUCCAUAGCCUUUCAGUCGUAGCCGAAAGUGUUAAGUAGCUCCGCCUGGGGAGUAUGGUCGCAAGGCUGAAACUCAAAGAAAUUGACGGGCGGACUCACACAACGCGGUGGAGGAUGUGGCUUAAUUCGAGGCUACGCGAAGAACCUUAUCCUUAGUCUUGACAUGCACGGAUUAACUCGGCCUGAGAGCCGAAGCCAGGCUUCGGCGUACAACCGAUGCACAGGUGUCUGCAAUGGCUGUCGUCAGCUCGUGUCGUGAGAUGUCGCGUUAACGUCGCUUGAACGAUGCGAACUACCCUUGGUCUCUAGUUGCCAUGCGGCGUAAAUGCCGGGGACUCUAGACGAGACCGCUCGGCCGUUAAGCCGGAGCCAGAAGGUGGGGAUGAUCGUCAAGGUCCUCAUGGCCCAUUAUGACUAGGGCUGCACACGUACCUACAAUGGAGCGCACAAAUGGGAAGCAAACGCCGCGAGGUCGAGCAACAUCCCAAUAUAAAGCGCUCCCUAGUUACGGAUUGUAGGCUGCAACUCGCCCUUAUGCAUGAAGCUGCGAAUCGCUAGAUAACAAUCUCGCGGCGUCAGCAUUACCACUGCUACG